RNAcentral lists this ribosomal RNA (831 nucleotides) under uncultured bacterium. RNAcentral describes it as "bacterial SSU rRNA". It matches the Rfam family "Bacterial small subunit ribosomal RNA", at positions 60 to 875 of the family's 1533-position model. The record is from RNAcentral.
AGUCGAACGGUAACGCGGAGAGAAGCUUGCUUCUCACCGGCGACGAGUGGCGAACGGGUGAGUAAUACAUCGGAACGUGUCCGCUCGUGGGGGACAACCAGCCGAAAGGUUGGCUAAUACCGCAUGAGUUCUACGGAAGAAAGAGGGGGACCCGCAAGGGCCUCUCGCGAGCGGAGCGGCCGAUGACUGAUUAGCCGGUUGGUGAGGUAACGGCUCACCAAAGCAACGAUCAGUAGCUGGUCUGAGAGGACGACCAGCCACACUGGGACUGAGACACGGCCCAGACUCCUACGGGAGGCAGCAGUGGGGAAUUUUGGACAAUGGGCGCAAGCCUGAUCCAGCUAUUCCGCGUGUGGGAUGAAGGCCCUCGGGUUGUAAACCACUUUUGUAGAGAACGAAAAGACACCUUCGAAUAAAGGGUGUUGCUGACGGUACUCUAAGAAUAAGCACCGGCUAACUACGUGCCAGCAGCCGCGGUAAUACGUAGGGUGCGAGCGUUAAUCGGAAUUACUGGGCGUAAAGGGUGCGCAGGCGGUUGAGUAAGACAGAUGUGAAAUCCCCGAGCUUAACUCGGGAAUGGCAUAUGUGACUGCUCGACUAGAGUGUGUCAGAGGGAGGUGGAAUUCCACGUGUAGCAGUGAAAUGCGUAGAUAUGUGGAAGAACACCGAUGGCGAAGGCAGCCUCCUGGGACAUAACUGACGCUCAGGCACGAAAGCGUGGGGAGCAAACAGGAUUAGAUACCCUGGUAGUCCACGCCCUAAACGAUGUUAACUAGUUGUUGGGAAGUAAAAUUCUCAGUAACGCAGCCAACGCGAGAAGUUAACCGCCUG